RNAcentral lists this transfer RNA (77 nucleotides) under Bacillota bacterium. Its description in RNAcentral is "Firmicutes bacterium (anaerobic digester metagenome) tRNA-Val". It matches the Rfam family "tRNA". Rfam says of the family: Transfer RNA (tRNA) molecules are approximately 80 nucleotides in length. Their secondary structure includes four short double-helical elements and three loops (D, anti-codon, and T loops). Lineage: Bacteria; Bacillati; Bacillota. RNAcentral also lists the same sequence under 2 other names. The record is from RNAcentral.
GGGGCUGUAGCUCAGUUGGCUAGAGUGCUACGUUGACAUCGUAGAGGUCACUGGUUCGAUCCCAGUCAGCCCCACCA